CGGGACGGGUGAGUAAUGUCUGGGAAACUGCCUGAUGGAGGGGGAUAACUGCUGGAAACGGUAGCUAAUACCGCAUAACGUCGCAAGACCAAAGAGGGGGACCUUCGGGCCUCUUGCCAACGGAUGUGCCCAGAUGGGAUUAGCUAGUAGGUGGGGUAACGGCUCACCUAGGCGACGAUCCCUAGCUGGUCUGAGAGGAUGACCAGCCACACUGGAACUGAGACACGGUCCAG
Molecule: ribosomal RNA, 233 nt
Filed under: uncultured bacterium
Lineage: Bacteria
Description: partial 16S ribosomal RNA
Rfam family: Bacterial small subunit ribosomal RNA
Source: RNAcentral